GGUGGAAUUACAUCAUAUGGACUUGCCUCUGCAAGUUCUUCAUCCUCAUCCUUAGCAAGAAGCCUCACUUGCUCUGUCACCUUCUUAGUAAAUUUCACCAAUUUGGCCAGAAGUUCAGAUGCAUUAGGAGGGAGUCCUGCUCCAUCAACCAUCCAAGGUUUCUCUGCUGAUCCAUUAAUAUGAAGUGUCUUUGUUUCGGAAGUAAUUAUAUCAUUCAACCUUGCCUUAGCAUC
RNAcentral lists this unclassified non-coding RNA (233 nucleotides) under Hevea brasiliensis (rubber tree). Lineage: Eukaryota; Viridiplantae; Streptophyta; Magnoliopsida; Malpighiales; Euphorbiaceae. The record is from RNAcentral.